RNAcentral lists this non-coding RNA (29 nucleotides) under Homo sapiens (human). The record is from RNAcentral. Lineage: Eukaryota; Metazoa; Chordata; Mammalia; Primates; Hominidae.
UAGGUGUCCUCUAAGAGUUCUUGUGUUGU